Molecule: ribosomal RNA, 253 nt
Filed under: uncultured bacterium
Lineage: Bacteria
Description: partial 16S ribosomal RNA
Rfam family: Bacterial small subunit ribosomal RNA
Source: RNAcentral
UACGGAGGGUGCGAGCGUUGUCCGGAAUUACUGGGCGUAAAGCGUGCGCAGGCGGUUUUGUAAGUCUGUCGUGAAAGCCCCGGGCUUAACCUGGGAAUUGCGAUGGAGACUGCAAGGCUUGAAUCUGGCAGAGGGGGGUAGAAUUCCACGUGUAGCAGUGAAAUGCGUAGAGAUGUGGAGGAACACCGAUGGCGAAGGCAGCCCCCUGGGUCAAGAUUGACGCUCAUGCACGAAAGCGUGGGGAGCAAACAGG